RNAcentral lists this long non-coding RNA (271 nucleotides) under Elaeis guineensis (African oil palm). RNAcentral describes it as "long non-coding RNA (EGUI_LNC050936)". Lineage: Eukaryota; Viridiplantae; Streptophyta; Magnoliopsida; Arecales; Arecaceae. The record is from RNAcentral.
AUGGAGUCUGGUUACUAUAGAAGUCCUGCUGUUGGAGAAGCUCGGCCAUUGACGAAGUCCGAAAGAAGUUCGGAGUAGAGUCAAUCGUGGCUGGAAGAAGUCUGGAAGAGAUUCGGAGAAUAGUCAAUCACUGCAGAAAAUCGAUUGAUAUUGAAGCCCAAAGAGCAUUUGGAGCAGCCCGGUACAUGAAUGGAGGAGCUCAAUGUCGGAGAAGUCCGAAUGGUAUUAUGGAAGCUCAGACGGUCGAGAGAGUUCAGAAAGAUGCCACACA